CCUAAACCAAAACCACAAAAUCUCAUAAAACCCCUUUAUUCCAGUAGACAAAUCUAAACGUUACAAGACACACAAAAGAUUAAAACUUUACCUGAUCUGUUCAUAGAGGAGUCAACACACACACACACACACACAGAGACCAAGAGUUAGUAACCGAUAAACGAAAUGCAAUUGAACACUCAAACGGUGUUAAAAAGCUAAAUGCCUAAAACCAAACCUAAGAUCUUUCCAAUACUAGUGCAUUGUGGCCAAGCUGUUCUAGCAUCAAAAGCUUUAGGUAGCUUCAAAGAUGGAUCAUGGCUUACAACAGGAACACCUAAGAAAUGCUUCUUCGGUGUUGGUUUAACAC
RNAcentral lists this long non-coding RNA (349 nucleotides) under Arabidopsis lyrata. RNAcentral describes it as "long non-coding RNA (ALYR_LNC001491)". The record is from RNAcentral. Lineage: Eukaryota; Viridiplantae; Streptophyta; Magnoliopsida; Brassicales; Brassicaceae.